AGGGUUUGAUUAUGGCUCAGAACGUACGCUGGCGGCACGCCUAACACAUGCAAGUCGAACGCAGUAGCAAUACUGAGUGGCAAACGGGUGAGUAUAAUGUGGGAAUCUGCCUUUUGGUUUGGAAUAACACGGGGAAACUUGUGCUAAUACCAAAUAAGCCCUUACGGGGAAAGUUUUAAUGCCAAAAGAUGAGCCCGCACUUGAUUAGCUAGUUGGUAAGGUAAAAGCUUACCAAGGCAAUGAUCAAUAGCUGUUCUUAGAGGAAGACCAGCCACAUUGGGACUGAGACACGGCCCAGACUCCUACGGGAGGCAGCAGUGGGGAAUCUUGCACAAUGGGGGAAACCCUGAUGCAGCGAUGCCGCGUGAGUGAAGAAGGCCUUUGGGUUGUAAAACUCUUUCGUCGGGGAAGAAAAUGACUGUACCCGAAUAAGAAGGUCCGGCUAACUUCGUGCCAGCCGCCGCGGUAAUAC
RNAcentral lists this ribosomal RNA (472 nucleotides) under uncultured bacterium. Its description in RNAcentral is "bacterial SSU rRNA". It matches the Rfam family "Bacterial small subunit ribosomal RNA", at positions 8 to 526 of the family's 1533-position model. The record is from RNAcentral.